GGAAACCGGAGCUAAUACCGGAUAAUAUAUUGAACCGCGUGGUUCAAUAGUGAAAGACGGUUUUGCUGUCACUUAUAGAUGGAUCCGCGCCGCAUUAGCUAGUUGGUAAGGUAACGGCUUACCAAGGCAACGAUGCGUAGCCGACCUGAGAGGGUGAUCGGCCACACUGGAACUGAGACACGGUCCAG
This 188-nucleotide ribosomal RNA is filed under the name uncultured Staphylococcus sp. RNAcentral describes it as "partial 16S ribosomal RNA". It matches the Rfam family "Bacterial small subunit ribosomal RNA", at positions 152 to 334 of the family's 1533-position model. The record is from RNAcentral. Lineage: Bacteria; Bacillati; Bacillota; Bacilli; Caryophanales; Staphylococcaceae.